AGGCGUGUUCCGUAGUCACCUUGACAUGGGGGGGGCGUUGGUUCGAGUCCAAUCGCGCCUACCA
RNAcentral lists this transfer RNA (64 nucleotides) under Pseudomonas atacamensis. Its description in RNAcentral is "Pseudomonas sp. M7D1 tRNA-Ser". The record is from RNAcentral. Lineage: Bacteria; Pseudomonadati; Pseudomonadota; Gammaproteobacteria; Pseudomonadales; Pseudomonadaceae.